This is a long non-coding RNA of Harpia harpyja (harpy eagle), 1406 nucleotides long. RefSeq lists it as uncharacterized. The record is from RefSeq and is a predicted model, not a curated record. Lineage: Eukaryota; Metazoa; Chordata; Aves; Accipitriformes; Accipitridae. The transcript is spliced from 3 exons.
UUUCCCUGGGGCUGCAGUCCUUCACGAUGUACCUGCUCCAGCGUGGGUUCCUCCACGGGCUGCAGUGUGAACAUCUGCUCUGAGCUCAGGGAAAACCUGCAAUUCCAGCAGUUAUUCUAGCAAUAUUCCUGACUUCACAUUGGGCAAAGUUCUUCAGGCACCUUCCCAGCUUGAUGGCCAAAGCCAAAGUUAGAGAUGAUGAAGAGUUCUGGGUUUGCUGAUGGUGGUCUCUUCUCCCAGGCAUAAGGUGUCCUGUGAAGGCUACCAACAGGAAGGUACUAUAAGAAUUUCACACUGGCAUAAAAGAGAUACUCUCUUACAGUUUUAAUAUUCCUCUACUAGAAACUAGCAAACAUUUUAAAAGCAACUUUUGAAACCUCUGUCAAGAGUUGAUCAUUAAUAGAGGCGCUCCUGUGCACCAAUAUGUUGUUCCCUGCUCAAAGAACUAUACUGUAAUUAGCCACAGUCAACACAAUUUAGAGCUUCAAGUGUUGGUGAAAACAAAAAUAAUUCUUACCUACUUUAUGGUGAUUCACACUUUGCAUAAUGCUGGGCAAUUGCAAUGCCCCUUGAAGUUAAGAGCACACUUACUGUGCAUCUAAUCCUUCCGUACUUUUUGCAACAUUGGCAGUUGUUUACACACCAGCUGGGCUGUUAUGGUUACUCUCUGAAUCAUACACAGAGUCAGAGCAAAGGUCAUAACCAAGAAAACUCCUUGUCGAAUAAGUUUUACAGAACAACCUGCAUAGGUAUGUAGAGUAUGACUGAGAAUAGUAUCUGAGAGCAGAGGGUUUUGGUAAAGCAGUGACAACAGAAUAAAUGCUUCCUUAUCUAAUCACUAUGUACAUUUCUCUCAAAGAAAAAAAAAAAAGGUAACUGAAGUCUGACAAAAAGGCUGGACUAGAAUUUAAUUCAUAAGUAAGUCAAAUCUCUUCAAACGUUGAAUUUUAUGAAGUGUUGCAAAUUUAAUUUGACAUUUCCUAGUUGCAUAUCGGAUUAGUAUCCUACUUAUUACUACAUCCUAUGUAUAGUACUAUAUAUCUAUUAUAUAUAGCAUAUUUGUACAUACUUCAUACAUAUAUGCAAAAUAUUUCUCAGUGGUUGACUUUGGAAUUAGUGGCUCUGGGGAGUUUUUACCCUAUCUUUGUAAAGGAUUUCUUCCUUUUUCUGUGGAAUUGAGGUAGUCUUCUGUCUUAAGAGAUAUUAAUAUAAAUAUAAGAACCCAACCUAUAUUCUAUGAGAAACUUGAUUUAGGAAUUCAUGCAGACAAAACAAAACUAUCAAUCACAGAUGCAGUGUGCAGACACUGAUAAAUACCAGGACACUUAGGAAGAUGCUAUGAAAUCUCCAUUUCUAUGAUUGAAGGCUUUACUGUAGAGCUCAGCUGAAAGAUGACUAUACCAGCU